Molecule: long non-coding RNA, 6121 nt
Filed under: Taeniopygia guttata (zebra finch)
Lineage: Eukaryota; Metazoa; Chordata; Aves; Passeriformes; Estrildidae
Description: lncRNA (ENSTGUG00000023142.1)
Source: RNAcentral
UUUCUUUCUUUCUUUCUUUCUUUCUUUCUUUCUUUCUUUCUUUCUUUCUUUCUUUCUUUCUUUCCUUCUUUCUUUCUUUCCCAAAUAUACUCAGAAACCAUACCCUAAUCCUUUAAAAUACAUAAAUAUAUAGCUAUUAAAUACAGUAGUAGUAGCCACUAGCAGGGUAAAUCUGCUUCUUUAGCACUCAUCUUCUCCUUUUGUGUUAAUAUGGAAGAUAAAGAGUAAAUUUCAAGUAAAGUUCACUGAGAUGUUACAGGGCUAAAUAUUAAAAGACAUUUUGCAAUAAUAUUUAUUUUGCAGCUUCCUGAUCUCUUAGUCCUGUACAGCACUCUGAGAUCAAAAUGCAGCAUAAGUAGUAGGAUUUGCCACAGUUCUUUCCACCUCAAUAAAAGAUGUCUUUCUCUCUCUUUUACUUCCCAGCCAUUACCAUUUCAGCAGAGUGCCUUUAGGAGGUAAUCAAAAGAAAACAUCCCGGAAAUUUCUGACAUAACUUCACUUUUUUUUCACCCAUCUCAAACAAGGGCCAGAUGCACAUUCUGAGAUUGAGUCAUAGUGAGAGCUUUUUGGUUAUUUAAUUACAGUUUUUAAUUAAUGUGAGAAAGCUUAACUGAUCCUAAGUGGUGGUAGCAGUUGACAAAUUACAAGAGAACUCCAUGCCCACAGAAGAGCUAAUGCUGCAAGGAAAGCACAAGGAAUCAACAUUGGUUUGUAAUGAGUUACAUUUCAAAGAAAUAGUUUCUCCAAGUGUCUUUGUGCAUGUGGGUUUACUAUCAUCUUUGAAGUUUGAAUCAUUUUAAGAUCUGGCUAGGGGCAAAUUAGAUAAGAAGGUGGCUGUGCAAUUAAAUUAAUAUUUUGGAAAGCUCAUACAGUUACAAGAUCCAAGUACUUACCCUGACAAAAUGCUGCCAACACUUUAAAGAGAUGUACUGACUUAUUUUUUACCUAUAAAUUUUUUUGCUGACAGAUUUGGUGGGUGCAUGAUUCAGCACUUAGCACUGGUAACAUGAUUGUGGUAACAUACAGGUUUCCGAGCAGCUGUCCCAGAUGAAGGCUGCAGCAAAGGUUCAGCUCUGUGAAUCCACUUCCACAGCACCUGGCCACACUCACAAGCACAGCUUGGAGAGACUUGCUGGGCUGAAAAUUGGUUUUGUGUCCCAUCUCAGCCUACUGGAGCAGUGGCCAAAACAUCUGCUUGAGGCGGUGCCAGACCCACGGAGUCGCAGGGAUGCUGACAAGAUCCGUCCCUGUGCUCCCGUCCCAGCCACCCGCAGGGCUCCAGCAGCCGUGCCCGGUGUCCCCAGUGCCUCUGAAUCUCCUUUUACACUGUGUGGGUUUUGGUUGUCAAUCACUCUCACUGACAAAGAAAUCAAAUCUCUCCACAGAGCCAAGUGGUUUUGCAAAAUAUGCUCUGAAUCAUAUCAACCAGAUGCCUUUAUAAAGCUGCAUUUGUGACCAAGACUUGACAAAAGAAAGGGAGUUGCAAAUUAAUGUAUAUUUUAAUCUUUUAACCCCUUGAAAAGUCAGCUAGCUGUAUGGAGCAACAGUAGGCAGGUGAAAAAAAAAAAAGGGUGUUAUUUGAGCUUGUGCAUGCAAAUCUUAAUUUCAGUGAAAAACCUGAAAAAAAGUAGUCUCAUUUUUUAAGAAAAAGCAAACAAAAAAUGUCAUAUUCGUGUUGCAAGAAGGGUCAAAGCUUUGUGCAAACUCCUUUCUUGGGAGCUGAGCCCCAUAUAAGCAGCAAGUGUUUGAGGUGAUUCACUGUGAUUCACUCCAGGAGAAAUUAGAUACCUGUGGUAUUUUGAAAACCUUAUUGUGUGAUAGUUUGCAUCUUCAGAUGCUGGAAUAUUUUUAGAUGUCUACCCCGAUUUACCUGUCAUAUGCACAGAGUUAAGGUGAGGCAUUAUCCCAUUGUCUGUAUCUGGAAGUGAAGGUGCACAGAAGUUGAAUCAUUAACCUAAGGAAGCACACAGGAACAGUCCCACUGGUUACAGCAGAGAACCACUUACUCCAGGAGGCUGUGCUGAAGGGUGUCAGCAAUGGAGGCUCAGGACAAUGAUGUUAGCAAUGGCCUUGAGCUGUGUUUCCCUACUUCUUCCUUCAUAGUUACUGACCAUUAAUGUAGGGACUUCUGAGACGGAGUUGCCUCCAGCAGACUGUGUUUAACACCCUCAACAGUGAGCUACCGGUCGACAGUGGAUCAAAUCCAAAUUUAGCCUCCUGCCUCAUUGGUUGUAUCCUUGUAAAUGUUGUCUGAAGCCUGCAAUCAAGUUCACUUUAGGACAAGCAUAAAACAAUUGUCCCCUGAGAAUCUAGAUACACAACUCAGCCUGACUUCGGGCACACAAGGUUUUCAUGUGGGCUGUCUCACAGAAUUUAAAUUUUCCAUCUGGAACCUGGCUCCACCACAGUGAACAGAAGUGUUACAGAACCCCAAAGAGCCAGCUGUGCAUUUCAGUUUGGCAUCUGUGAGACUGAGCAAGGUGAGUCACUUAUCGCAGUCCUUACAUUCCACACGUCCCACAGGAGGAACCGCUGAGAGCUUUCAAGAGCACUUCAAGGUUUGCUUUGCUGCAGUGCCUGUUGCAAAGGACUGCAUUUUCCAUUGUAAUGUACUGCUUUAGAAUGAAUCCCAACAAGGAAAAAAUAUCUCACGCUAUUGUGGUAUUAUAAUUUUAAUAAAUAUUUCCCUUGUUUCCCACUACUCCAGGGAAGCAAAGCAAGGGAGGAGUUGCUGCAAGCAACACCAACUCACAACAGCAACUGAGAGAAUCAACGGAUUUACCUGCCAGGCAGCACUCACUCAUCAGCUUGGCUUUCAUUUACCUUAAACACCCACUAAUGAUUAGCAGCAUUUACAUGCCCACUAAAAAGAAAAAGGCACACUUCUGAGAAAUUACCUGUAUUGCAUCUUAUAGGAUGUUUGUGGCAGAGGGAGGGGUAGGUUUUGCAACUCUUUCCAAGAAAACCAAUGCCUUCACUUAAAGAAAUGAGUCAGAAAAGCACAGGGUGAGAAAUCAAGGACAAGUGGGAAUGAGACUGCAGCAGCACAGAUCCUUGGAACCUGGAUAAGGUGGCAAGUCCAUCCUGCCAAGAGCUAAGAGUUUCCAUUCUUGCUGGAGUUAAUGGACACCCAAACUCCUGGUGGAGAAGAAAUAUUUCUAAACUAAAAGCUCUUUUACUCAGCUCUUCUUUCUGCUGAAGCAAAAAAUCACUGGGUUCGAAAUCAGUCAAAAGCUGAUCCAAUAGCUUAUGCAAGUGAGUUUCUUGCCAAAGGAGGGAGUGCUGGAACAAAUUAAUAACUUAAAGAAAAAUGGGGAUACUGUGGUAACACAUGAAAUAGUUUAAUGGUGUGUUUGAGCCCAUUAAAAAUAAUGCAUUUCUUAUUAGAGUAUGGAAUUGAACCAAAUAUUUCUAUUUCAAAACAAAAAGCAAAUGCUUUAAAUGUCAUUCUGGCAAUUAUUAAGCAGUUAAAUUUAUUUUUAAAAUGGCAUUAAAUUUAAAGGUUAUAUUUGUAUAGCACAAUGCAGUAUCAUGUAGAAAUGCCCUUACACUGAAUGAUGGAGAAGGGUAUUGCCUCGGGAGCAAGGAGACAUUUAAUGUAAAUAAAACCUGCUGCUGCUUAUGAAGGAUAGUGAACCCAGACAGAGUCAUGCUGGGAGGGCCAGGUCCCUUCUAGAAUCAGAAUUAGCUUGCAGACAAGUGGUGCCAAAAUUUCUGGAUGGCAAUGCCCUUUGCAAUCCUGAAGGAGCCUACAUUCACUUAAACACUCCACCUAAACCUCAGCCUGGUUUGCAGAGGUUUUCAAGCAGUCUUUCCAGAUACAGUGCUUCGUUGCCCUCUGCCAUUAUAUUCCUCCGUAUACAAGAUCCAACACUGAAGGAGAACAGUUCAUAAAAUGAAACUGAUGUUUGCUUAAGCUAAAAAAUUUGAGGUACUUCAAAAAUAAGCAAAUAGAAAAUGUACCAUAUUUAGGGCUCUUAUGACAAUCUGCACUGCUCAAAAAAAAUCCAUGUCUGCAGUGCCUAUGGUAGUACUGGCCAGUAAACUCCAUUUAAAGCCAAAACUCUCUUUUGUCUCUUCAGACCUUCACCUUGACAGAUGUCCUUUCACCUCCAUCUUCAAUGUUAAUUCUUAGGGACUGCUACACAAACCUGAAAAUAAGGACUAAGGGAACCGGGACUUCCAUAAAAACAUUAACAUCUCAGGCAACACAGGAGGGGAGGAGGGGGUUGAUUUGAGUGAUAACUUUGCAACCUUCCUUGGUAACGAAGCAACCUGGCCAGGGUCUCCAUCCCUUGGCGGGGCUGAGCAGGAUGUCACAUGUGAGUCACACUGUGCUGAGUUCUGCUGGAAAUGCUUGGGAGGGAAAGAAGUUUCACAGAGAAGACCUUUUAAAUUAAGAUGCUUUAUACAAAGGAAAAUACAAGAGGUGGGAACAUGUGGAUGAGCUAAGGGAGAAAAAUGAAAAUGUAAAAUUGACAUGCUUUUUAAUACCAUUUUUAUCAUAUUUCUUUGAAAGCCAUCAUUUUUCAAUGUACUUCAUAGAUUGUCCUUGCAAAGAGAUUUGCCCUUUCUGACUCUUUCUCCAGUUAGGUGUUGCCUCUGUUAUCUUCCUCCUGAGAGCCUGAUUUGAGCUAACAAGCAAAAAUACUGUUUUUUAUAAUCUCACCUGUCUGUAUUAUGCCUCCACUUGCCUCAGCCCCACAAAGUGAGGUCCCAGCAUACCCUGGUUAGAGGCUGGAGAAGAAGCAAAGACCAUAGUACAGCUCAGGGCUGAUUCCCCCAAUGAGACCUGUAGUUUCUCCCCCUCACGCAGCCCCCAAAGAAUCCGACCAGCUCAGAGAUAAGGGGCUGUGAGGGGAGGAAUAUCAGGAGAGGGGUAAGAUAUUCAAAAGAGGCUCUCACCCCUGGAGAAGUUAGUUCAGCUCUCUUUAUUCUGUGAUGUCCAUGUGGAGAGCGGGGCAAAAGAGAGCGAACAGGAAAUGUCAGGGGUCUAUAAAGACUUUGGACAGGGUGGGCUUCUCUGGCUCCCCACCAACCCCAUUGGGGCAGGAAGGAGGAUCCAGGGGUUAUCUUGAUCAGAGUCACAGGGUCCCGGGGGAAGGGGGGCACAGGGUGCCUAUGAGCUCACUGUAACAGAGACCAACAUAUUUUCUCACCUUCUGUCCCUAAGGUCUUCUGAAAUUUACCAUGCAAAUACAGAAAACUUCACCAACAACCUCCCUGUGCAAUACCUCCUUGUUCCAGGCAUAACCACAGGCAAAUAGUUAACAUCUACCCACAAAGUUUUGCUAGCCUUCAACUUCAAGAUAUUUGGAAAACAGAGAAAAGGAAUUUAGAACUUUUUUUUUUUCUUAUUUCCUGCAAUGAAUAAAAAAUUAAUUUUACUAGAAGUACAGUACUUACCUUCUUUACUCUGACUGAAGCCAUUGUUCACUGUCUCCAAAGCAUUAGCUUAUAUUACCUUUUGGAAGUGAUGUAGUAAUACUGCUCAGGCACAUCUUCAGCAUCUUCCUUUUCUUAUUUUCACAGUUAAAAAAUCUCCUCUUUGGAGAUGGCAGCUAAUGUAAUUGUGGUAAAAAAUAAAAACAACACUGGAAAGAAUGGAACUAAGUCCCAACAACACAAAGUUACAGACAUAACAAAAAGAUAGGCAGGUUAUGUUUUAGAAGUAGAGUUAAAAAAAAAAAAAAAAAAAAAAAAAAAAGGUGGGUUUUCAUUAAUUGUGGAAAACAGAUACAUACAUACCACAUGAGGACAACAUAUGAUACGGAUCAAUCACUAUCCUCCAACUCUUAUUUCCUUUUGAGAAUUUUUCUUCUGUUUAUAGCAGUUUAUAGCUUUACAAUCUACUUGAACAUUUUCUUCUUGCAUCUUCCUAUUUCCAAGAGAUCAUUUCAGCAGAGGCAUUUCCACUCUUAGAAAAAGCAGACUGUUCCUGUUUGUAUCAGGCAAAGCAGAUGGAGAAAACAAAUCAUUAAUUUAUGACUUAGAAGAUACAUUUGUAUGACAGGACUUUGUAACACCCUACGCUUCUUUUUUAAUUUUUCAUGACAUUUAUGAAGAGAUAGGAAAAUAAAAUUAGAAACAGGAGAUUCCUCACAGUGGCAGUAUUCUGUCC